GAAUUCAACUCCUACGGGAGGCAGCAGUGGGGAAUAUUGCACAAUGGGCGAAAGCCUGAUGCAGCGACGCCGCGUGAGGGAUGACGGCCUUCGGGUUGUAAACCUCUUUCAGUAGGGACGAAGCGAGAGUGACGGUACCUGCAGAAGAAGCACCGGCUAACUACGUGCCAGCAGCCGCGGUAAUACGUAGGGUGCGAGCGUUGUCCGGAAUUAUUGGGCGUAAAGAGCUUGUAGGCGGUUUGUCGCGUCUGCUGUGAAAGACCGGGGCUUAACUCCGGUUCUGCAGUGGGUACGGGCAGGCUAGAGUAUGGUAGGGGAGACUGGAAUUCCUGGUGUAGCGGUGAAAUGCGCAGAUAUCAGGAGGAACACCGAUGGCGAAGGCAGGUCUCUGGGCCAUUACUGACGCUGAGAAGCGAAAGCAUGGGGAGCGAACAGGAUUAGAUACCCUAGUAGUCCAGGCGUU
RNAcentral lists this ribosomal RNA (463 nucleotides) under uncultured bacterium. RNAcentral describes it as "bacterial SSU rRNA". It matches the Rfam family "Bacterial small subunit ribosomal RNA", at positions 328 to 803 of the family's 1533-position model. The record is from RNAcentral.